Molecule: long non-coding RNA, 267 nt
Filed under: Apteryx rowi (Okarito brown kiwi)
Lineage: Eukaryota; Metazoa; Chordata; Aves; Apterygiformes; Apterygidae
Description: lncRNA (ENSARWG00000009980.1)
Source: RNAcentral
UAAUUAUGUCCUUAUUGUAAAGAGAUGUAUAGCCACAGAGCUGGAGAAAACCAAAGGUAGGCAAGUCAGUCCUUGGUCUUGUCUGGAUGCAAGCAAUACUAUAUGCUUUUGUCCACGCUACUCUUCCCUGUAGACAUCUACAUUGCAAGAUCACUGUUUGCAGCCUUGAGACCUAGACUUACUCUUUUACAGAUCAUGUCCCAGGAGGACAACUCCAGAAUGGCCUACAAAAUACUGGCUUGGGUGAGCUCCAGACAGCUACAAGGA